GUGGGGAAUAUUGGACAAUGGGCGAAAGCCUGAUCCAGCCAUGCCGCGUGUGUGAAGAAGGUCUUCGGAUUGUAAAGCACUUUAAGUUGGGAGGAAGGGCAGUAAGUUAAUACCUUGCUGUUUUGACGUUACCAACAGAAUAAGCACCGGCUAACUUCGUGCCAGCAGCCGCGGUAAUACGAAGGGUGCAAGCGUUAAUCGGAAUUACUGGGCGUAAAGCGCGCGUAGGUGGUUCAGCAAGUUGGAGGUGAAAUCCCCGGGCUCAACCUGGGAACUGCCUCCAAAACUACUGAGCUAGAGUACGGUAGAGGGUAGUGGAAUUUCCUGUGUAGCGGUGAAAUGCGUAGAUAUAGGAAGGAACACCAGUGGCGAAGGCGACUACCUGGACUGAUACUGACACUGAGGUGCGAAAGCGUGGGGAGCAAACAGGAUUAGAAACCCUGGUAGUCC
This 450-nucleotide ribosomal RNA is filed under the name uncultured bacterium. RNAcentral's name for it is "bacterial SSU rRNA". It matches the Rfam family "Bacterial small subunit ribosomal RNA", at positions 354 to 796 of the family's 1533-position model. The record is from RNAcentral.